CACCUCCUUUCUAAGGAUGUUCUUCAGAAGCUUGCUUCUAUCGACCGUUUUAGAAACAUCAGUGGCCAACGGUCGUCAGGAUCGUUGAGCUGCAUUGGCGGGAUUUCGCCGUCUUCGUUUCUCUUUCUUCGCGGACGAACACGCGCUGGGGCUGCAACCUUGCAGAAUCCCUGGUCCUUGACUGGAUAUGCGUUAGGGGCUUGUAGCUCAGUUGGUUAGAGCGCGCGCUUGAUAAGCGUGAGGUCGGAAGUUCAAGUCUUCCCAGGCCCACCACACUCAUCGAGUGAGCAUUCGUCUUCUGGUUACGGGGCCAUAGCUCAGCUGGGAGAGCGCGUGCUUUGCAAGCAUGAGGUCGUCGGUUCGAUCCCGUCUGGCUCCACCAGAUGGUUUGAUCACCGACUACUUGUACCGUCGUCCGCGAAACAUCACUUCGCACUUACUAGUCCGGAUGGACAGUAAGCUGCGUGAUUUCUGACAUCGUAAAGAGGAGAUCGAUCCGAGUUGGAUCGGGCAACAAGUAAUUGUUGCGCGAUACUUCAUUAUCUCCGGAUCAUUUCGGCGCUCGUGCGUCUUCCAGGGUAGCUCACAAGGCUGCGUCUGAAGGACACGCGAGUUGUAAAUGAUCCUUUUAGCGAAGCUUGACCGCCUCGCUAUCGGAACGAUCUUACGAAGCAAGCUGGUCUUUCUAAUCAUUGUCCGGCUGCAGAUAGCGUUCAUCGAGGGCGCGUGCCUUAGAGACUUAGGUUUCUUGGCAAUUCUGCAGACAACAUUCUGCCGAGUGUGUGGACAUUGAUAAUGAGAGCAAUCAAGUGCCUUAAGGGGUGUUCGGUGGAUGCCUUGGCGCUGAGAGC
This 851-nucleotide transfer RNA is filed under the name Bradyrhizobium canariense. Its description in RNAcentral is "partial 16S-23S ribosomal RNA intergenic spacer". The stretch from base 197 to 270 matches the Rfam family "tRNA". Lineage: Bacteria; Pseudomonadati; Pseudomonadota; Alphaproteobacteria; Hyphomicrobiales; Nitrobacteraceae. The record is from RNAcentral.